GUUUUGGCGCGGUGGCGGAAUGGCGGCUUCCACCUCUGAAGCGGGCGACGCUAUGGGUCCCACAGGAGCUGCACACCAUCUUCCCAUGGCUGGUAGAGAGCAUUUUCGGCAGCCUAGACGGUGUCCUCGUUGGCUGGAACCUCCGCUGCUUACAGGGGCGUGUGAAUCCUGUGGAGUACAGCAUCGUGAUGGAAUUUCUCGACACUGGGUAGUGGCCCAAUGAUGAAGUUGGUUUAUAAGCUUCAAGCUGAAGACUAUAAGUUCGACUUUCCUGUCUCCUACCUGCCUGGUCCUGUGAAGGCGUCCAUCCAGGAGUGCAUCCUCCCUGACAGUCCUCUGUACCACAACAAGGUCCAGUUCACCCCUACUGGGGGCCUUGGUCUGAACCUGGCCCUGAAUCCAUUCGAGUAUUACAUAUUCUUCUUUGCCUUGAGCCUCAUCACUCAGAAGCCACUCCCUGUGUCCCUCCACGUCCGUACUUCAGACUGUGCCUAUUUCAUCCUGGUGGACAGGUACCUGUCAUGGUUCCUGCCCACCGAAGGCAGUGUGCCCUGCCACUCUCCUCCAGCCCAGGGGGGACCAGCCCCUCACCGCCUCCCAGGACACCAACCAUGCCCUUUGCUUCCUAUGGCCUCCACCACACUAGCCUCCUGAAGCGACACAUCUCUCAUCAGACGUCUGUGAAUGCAGACCCCGCCUCCCACGAGAUCUGGAGGUCAGACACUGCUCCAGGUUUUUGUUGAAAUGUGGCUUCAUCACUAUUCGUUGGAGAUGUAUCAAAAAAUGCAGUCCCCUCAUGCCAAGGAGUCGUUCACGCCUACUGAGGAGCAUGUGUUGGUGGUGCGCCUGCUGCUGAAGCACCUGCACGCCUUUGCCAACAGCCUGAAGCCAGAGCAGGCCUCACCCUCCGCCCACUCCCACGCCACCAGCCCCCUGGAGGAGUUCAAACGGGCCGCUGUCCCGAGGUUCAUCCAGCAGAAACUCUACCUCUUCUU
This 995-nucleotide long non-coding RNA is filed under the name Homo sapiens (human). Its description in RNAcentral is "non-protein coding lnc-TUBA3D-1:2". The record is from RNAcentral. Lineage: Eukaryota; Metazoa; Chordata; Mammalia; Primates; Hominidae.